AGAGUUUGAUCAUGGCUCAGAAUCAACGCUGGCGGCGCGCCUAACACAUGCAAGUCGAACGAGAAAGUGGAGCAAUCCAUGAGUAAAGUGGCGUACGGGUGAGUAACACGUGGGUGAUCUACCUCUUAGUGAGGAAUAACCCUGGGAAACCGGGGCUAAUACCGCAUAAGCCUGAGAAGGGAAAGCAGCAAUGCGCUGAGAGAGGAGCCCGCGGCCGAUUAGCUAGUUGGUGAGGUAAAAGCCCACCAAGGCAGAGAUCGGUAGCCGGCCUGAGAGGGCACACGGCCACACUGGCACUGAAACACGGGCCAGACUCCUACGGGAGGCAGCAGUGGGGAAUCUUGCACAAUGGGGGAAACCCUGAUGCAGCGACGCCGCGUGAGCGAUGAAGCCCUUCGGGGUGUAAAGCUCUUUCGUCAGGGAAGAUCAUGACGGUACCUGGAGAAGCAGCUGCGGCUAACUACGUGCCAGCAGCCGCGGUAAUACGUAGGCAGCAAGCGUUGUUCGGAGUUACUGGGCGUAAAGGGUGUGUAGGCGGUUCUUUAAGUUUGGUGUGAAAUCUCCCGGCUCAACCGGGAGGGUGCGCCGAAUACUGAGGGACUAGAGUGUGGGAGAGGAAAGUGGAAUUCCUGGUGUAGCGGUGAAAUGCGUAGAUAUCAGGAGGAACACCGGUGGUGUAGACGGCUUUCUGGACCAUAACUGACGCUGAGACACGAAAGCGUGGGUAGCAAACAGGAUUAGAUACCCUAGUAGUCC
Molecule: ribosomal RNA, 756 nt
Filed under: uncultured bacterium
Lineage: Bacteria
Description: bacterial SSU rRNA
Rfam family: Bacterial small subunit ribosomal RNA
Source: RNAcentral